GUCGUAGUUGGGAACAGGAAGUUCCGGGUAGAAAACGACAGAACUGUGCUGUUAUGUCUAUAGUGGUUGUGUCCGUUUCAAAUGUAUUAUUACAGACCGACUCAGAUUAAGUCUGAGUCCGUUAACAUAAACAGCGAGGUCAAACCUACAGUCACUGGGUCCUGAUUGUGACAGUGGACCCCAGUUUGCACUGCAGGAUCCAGAGAUGGCAUCAGUGAAGCUGGAAGACUGCAGUCAAACACUGGAGCUGAAUGUCAUCAUUAAAGAUGAAGAAGAGGAGGAGGAGAUUGGUACAUCUGUUAGUCAUGACCGACUCAGAUUAAGUCUGAGGCCGGUAACAUCAACAGUGAGGACAAACCCAGCCUGCCUCUCUCCUUCCACACUGAGUCCAAACCUACAGUCACAGGGUCCUGAUUGUGACAGUGGAGCCCAGUUUGCACUGCAGGAUCCAGAGAUGGCAUCAGUGAAGCUGGAAGACUGCAGUCAAACACUGGAGCUGAAUGUCAACAUUAAAGAGGAGGAGAAGUUUAGGACAACUGUUAGUCAUGGAGACCAUGUUGAGAUAUUCUCUACAUCCAGAGAGCAACAGCAGGAAGAUCACAGAGCUAAGAGGUCUCAUCACUGCCCACAUUGUAAAGAGAUUUUCCCAUUUCUAUCAAAGCUAAAAAUACACCUAAAAAUACACACAGGAGAGAAGCCUUACUCCUGCUCUGACUGUGGAAAAUGCUUCAAAACAUCAACGGUGCUAAAACUUCAUCAGAGAACACACACAGGAGAGAAGCCUUAUUACUGCUCUGACUGUGGAAAACGUUUUAAAACAUCAACUCAGCUAAAAGUUCAUCAGAGAACACACACAGGAGAGAGGCCUUUCUUCUGCCCUGACUGUGGAACUAGUUUCUCUCAACUUUCCCACUUAAAAACACAUGAACGUAUACAUACAGGGGAGAAGCCUUAUUACUGCCCUGACUGUGGAAAACGUUUUAAAACAUCAAAUGAGCUAAAAGUUCAUCAAAGAACACACACAGGAGAGAAGCCUUACGUCUGCUCUGACUGUGGAAAAUGCUUCACAACAUCAACUGAUCUAAAAGUUCACCAGAGAACACACACAGGAGAGAAGCCUUAUUCCUGCUCUGACUGUGGAAAGAGUUUUUCUCACCAGUGCAACUUAAAAACUCACCAACGUAUACAUUAAGGAGAAAAGCCACAUCAGUUCUCUCAGACCAGCCACCAGUCACUCCAUCACUUAAUUCUCAUCUCAUAAAGGAAGUGGUAACAUUGAAUGAAGCUUAGAACACUAUUGUAAUCUUAUUGUUUCUCACUGUGAGAGAACUGUCCAGUGGAAAGGAAGAGUUCUAGAAUGUUAGCCUCUUUACUUUACUGAUUAGUGUGCUCCUUUAGUUUUGGUGUGCUUUGUUAGAUUCUACUGUAAACAUAUUGAGAUGACCUUGGAUUUGCCCGUAGUGUUGAAUACCCUCUGUGAGGCUUCUCAUUUUAAAAACAGGCUGUGUUUGAAUACUCAUACUAACCACACUAUUUGUGACGUGGAGUAUAUAGUAUGCUUAUUGGUCAUAGUAUGGAUAUAGUUAGCAUCCAAUUCGCCAAAAUACGAAGUAUACACACAAAGGACACUUUAUGUACUUUUAGGGCCCAUAAUGCAAUUCCUCAACAAAAAAAAGGGGGUGUCGCUUCACGUGUUCAGAUUUGAAGAAAAUGGGGGGAAAAUAUGCAGCCAAAGUCCGUUGAGAGCGAAUACAAAUUAAUUUCUUUAACUAAUUAUGACAAAUGUUAAGAAAAUGUUGAGCAAUGUAAUUAAGUAAUGACUUUUCUAAUAAGUUACGUUACACUUUAUGUUGGCUGACAAUUUGUUAGCUACGCUAUCCUUAGGAACUGCAUAGCAUUACAGCAGUAUGUACUGGUAUGUUAGCUACGCUAUCCUUAGGAACUGCAUAGCAUUACAGCAGUAUGUACUGGUAUGUUAGCUACGUUAUCCUUACGAACUGCAUAGCAUUACAGCAGUAUGUACUGGUAUGUUAGCUACGCUAUCCUUAGGAACUGCAUAGCAUUACAGCAGUAUGUACUGGUAUGUUAGCUACGCUAUCCUUAGGAACUGCAUAGCAUUACAGCAGUAUGUACUGGUAUGUUAGCUACGCUAUCCUUAGGAACUGCAUAGCAUUACAGCAGUAUGUACUGGUAUGUUAGCUACGCUAUCCUUAGGAACUGCAUAGCAUUACAGCAGUAUGUACUGGUAUGUUAGCUAACGUGAGUUGGAUACUAAUAUUGUUACAUGGAACUUGCCAGGCAGUAUAUUAACUAACUAACUAACCAACAUUUAUUGACUUGAUUAUUCACAUCAUUCUAUACUGUAGUCAUUGUGUGUUUCAAUGGACAUUGUUAAUUCUGGCUAUCUACUCCGAUUUCAGAACACUCUUGCGCAGAAUGACUGAUGAAUUUACAAACGCUCAACACCCGUCGAAUAUAGCUGGUGUCAAUAAACAUCGGCAAAAGAAAGCCUAAUAAGUUAUUGCUAGCAGUCACCAACUCUCUGGAUUACAUGAAAACAGUCUAACCAGUUCUGCUAUGGCAAGUAAAAUGGUCAGUGAGGUGUUCUCUCAUUUGUGUUUGGAAGUAGCUAGCAAACAUUAGCCAGUUAGCUUGGGUGCUUGACUGCCGUUGAAUGCUCGGAUCUACUCUACUCCUCAGCUAGACCGUCCAGUGUGGCUCUGAACGCUCCGAGAGCGAAACGCUCUGAAUUUAUGAACGCCCAGAGCGCACUCUGGCACUCCAGAUUGAAUUUACAAACACACCCCAAAUCUUCAAAUGUUUAGCUAGUUAUUUGUUAUGCUAGCAAGAGGUUGCAUAGCAACAGCAUCCGGAAGACAGGCAAAGCUCUCGUACGCUCGACUGAAACUAUACCGUUCGUUCACAGUAUACUAAAAUGAACUUAUAGUAUGUAGUAUAUACUCAUUUAGUAUACAGUAUGUUAGUAUGGGUAUUCGAACACAGCUAUAGUCUGCCAGUUGACUGGGUGUUACUGCUUCCCUCUCAGCCUGGUCUGAUUCUGUCUGUUGGGAGAGUUUCUCUACAGUUUUACUGUUUUUACUUGUUUUUAUUCAGGUGCCAGUGUCUCAGUUGCUAUGGUGCCCUGAGGACAAACAUUCCAUCAAUACAACCAAAACAAAAAUAUAUCUUUUUUUUUUUUUAGCUACAAGACAGCUAUAAAUACAUAACAUCAGGUUAUUACAAUAAGUUAUAAUAAUCAUUUGAAACAAUUGCACACUUCAGUGAACUCAUUUAACAACAGUUGUGAACUGCUCUAUCGGCACCAGGGAAUCCAGCUGGAAUUUGUUUUGUAAGGUAUUCUAUAACUGUGAUGCGUUAACUAAAGGUGGAUUUACCAAACUUUGAAGACGAGCGGGGACCAACCCUGCGAACGGGUCUGGCAUCUCAUCUUUAAUAUUUCAAGAGGGAAGUGAGGUAUGUUGGAAGCUUGUGGAGAUGGAAGCUUUGUAAACGAGAAGGGAGUAAUGAAGGGAUCUAUGGGACUUCCAUGAGGAAGUGACCUCUUGACCUUCUGAUACAGGAUGCAAUGAUGAGUAUUAAAACUGUCACCUGUAAUAAAGCAAAGGGUGCUAUGGUAGACGGCAUCCAGUGGUUUAAGAGUAGUGGCUGCUGCAUUCUGGUAAAUGGUGUCACCAUAUUGAAUAACUGUCAGGAUUGCAUGAAAACACAAAUGUAUGCAUUUUAACUAAUUAGCAACUUUGCAACUACUUACUACUUCUUAGCAUGCAACUACUUAGCAUGUUAGCUAACUCUUCCCCUAAUCUGGCUAACUUUAGCAACAACAAAUUGGAAUUCGUAAUAUAGUACAAAUUAGUAACAUAUGUUACGCAUUGCUAUUCAUACAAUAUGGACGGCAGGGUAGCCUAGUGGUUAGAGUGUUGGACUAGUAACCGGAAGGUUGCAAGUUCAAACCCCCGAGCUGACAAGGUACAAAUCUGUCGUUCUGCCCCUGAACAGGCAGUUAACCCACUGUUCCUAGGCCGUCAUUGAAAAUAAGAAUUUGUUCUUAACUGACUUGCCUGGUUAAAUAAAGGUAAAAAAAUAUAUAUAUAUGAAUUGUCAUUUAACAUACCAUAUGUCCUAUAAUUUUAUAUUAUACGACCAUUAUUACAUUGGUAGGCCAACAUAACAUAUCAUACUAAACGGAGUAACACAAAGUUUUGUAACAUAUAAUAGGUUUUGCUCUGAGACCAGGUUGUCCCUCUCAGUUCUCUAUGGGAAUGAGUUAGUAGACAACAUGUAUCAGAUAGAGAUGGUGUGAUGAUCACUUUUCACCAUUAGUUUGGGGGGAUUAUUUUACAACUUUAUUUAAUGAUACACAGGUUAUGAAAUGAAUACAUGUGUUUAUUAAUUGUCUUUAAAACUAGAUGAGUUAUUUUAGUUACUGAUCAUGAAUGUGUUUGGAUAACUGCAUUGAAGCAAACUUUAUUGAUCUGCCAAUGAAAAAUAAAGUUACCUGAAUAUGUA
Molecule: long non-coding RNA, 4527 nt
Organism: Oncorhynchus kisutch (coho salmon)
Lineage: Eukaryota; Metazoa; Chordata; Actinopteri; Salmoniformes; Salmonidae
Exons: 4
Source: RefSeq, a predicted model, not a curated record